GGGAGAAGUGAAUAAGACCUGGCACCCAGCUCCCAGGCUCCCACUGCCCUUCCUUAUUGCAGUGGGAUCUAGGCACCCCUGUCAUGGACAAAAUCCUGGUUGUGCUAGGCGCUGUGCAAACAGAAGCAAAAGAUGGUGUUUUUCUUCUCAACCUACCCAAGCCCUAAAAUGUGCUCGUCUGUAAAGAGUGGCAAAAACAAAAAUGAGGGACAGAGCAAAAAUAGCAGAAGAAGAAUCUUAAAGAUGUUAUUUAUCAUAGAUGGCAAUUUUUACUGGAAGGUUUGAGAAAGAAAGGACUCAGCAUACUUUAUGGCUUAUAUGUGGGAACUCGAGAAAAUAUUUACAGCUUGAAAAAAGUUCACUAUGUUCCAAUAUAUUAAUAUUUUUGGCCUUCUAUCAAUUCCAGUACAGUUUUUCUUCUUGCAGUUGCUUUAUAAAACAUUUCAACAACAAAUAAAGCCAACUGGCUCUUUCCACUUAUGUGCUUAAAUAGUUCCCCCACUUUUUGGCUGAAAACU
Long non-coding RNA from Pelodiscus sinensis (Chinese soft-shelled turtle), 518 nucleotides. RefSeq lists it as uncharacterized. Lineage: Eukaryota; Metazoa; Chordata; Testudines; Trionychidae. The record is from RefSeq and is a predicted model, not a curated record.